Molecule: long non-coding RNA, 491 nt
Filed under: Nicotiana benthamiana
Lineage: Eukaryota; Viridiplantae; Streptophyta; Magnoliopsida; Solanales; Solanaceae
Description: long non-coding RNA (NBEN_LNC016145)
Source: RNAcentral
AAAAAUUACAGAACUGGAGACUGGAAAUUUUUGAGAUAAAAGUCAGAUUUCAGAGUUUAAAACCUGAAAGCUUUUAGUCAAUUUUGAGAUUCUUUUCAGAGAGUUAUAGUGAUCAAGGCUGAGCUUUAUAUCAAGAGUUUCAAUUUGUUCUCUUUCUGAGUGUUCAAAAUCAGACAACUACUGUUGUCUUGUGCCUGUUCCUUUUCUACUUUGACUGUGGUUUCAUUUUCGGCAUUUCCUGGGAUUUCAGUUUGGUCUUGAAUCCUGAUUCAUUAAGGGUUCUUGGUUUUCUGCUUCGUAUUUUGAAUUUGGUCCUUGUUUUCUGCUACUGUAUCUGUUACUGGGUUCAUUGGUGUUGGUGGUUGUUGCUGAACCUGUUGUUGUGCUUGUGUUACUGCUGCACUACUGACCAUCCUCUCCUUCUUUGGCAUUUCCAAAUACCAGGUACACAAUCGAAUAUACUGAAUUAUGUAAGCAGAAACAUAUUGAAG